This 515-nucleotide ribosomal RNA is filed under the name uncultured bacterium. Its description in RNAcentral is "partial 16S ribosomal RNA". It matches the Rfam family "Bacterial small subunit ribosomal RNA", at positions 28 to 523 of the family's 1533-position model. The record is from RNAcentral.
GAUGAACGCUGGCGGCGUGCCUAAUACAUGCAAGUCGAGCGAAUGGAUUAAGAGCUUGCUCUUAUGAAGUUAGCGGCGGACGGGUGAGUAACACGUGAGUAACCUGCCCAUAAGACUGGGAUAACUCCGGGAAACCGGGGCUAAUACCGGAUAACAUUUUGAACCGCAUGGUGCGAAAUUGAAAGGCGGCUUCGGCUGUCACUUAUGGAUGGACCCGCGUCGCAUUAGCUAGUUGGUGAGGUAACGGCUCACCAAGGCAACGAUGCGUAGCCGGCCUGAGAGGGUGAUCGGCCACACUGGGACUGAGACACGGCCCAGACUCCUACGGGAGGCAGCAGUAGGGAAUCUUCCGCAAUGGACGAAAGUCUGACGGAGCAACGCCGCGUGAGUGAUGAAGGCUUUCGGGUCGUAAAACUCUGUUGUUGGGGAAGAACAAGUGCUAGUUGAAUAAGCUGGCACCUUGACGGUACCUAACCAGAAAGCCACGGCUAACUACGUGCCAGCAGCCGCCGUAA